RNAcentral lists this ribosomal RNA (237 nucleotides) under uncultured bacterium. RNAcentral's name for it is "partial 16S ribosomal RNA". It matches the Rfam family "Bacterial small subunit ribosomal RNA", at positions 97 to 334 of the family's 1533-position model. The record is from RNAcentral.
GGCGCACGGGUGAGUGACACAUGGCUGACCUGCCCUUCAGAGGGGGACAACCACUAGAAAUGGUGGCUAAUACCCCAUAUGCUCACGGGAUUUAGAAACUUGUGAGGAAAAGCUCCGGCGCUGAAGGAGGGGGCUGUGGCCCAUCAGCUAGUUGGUGUGGUAACGGCGCACCAAGGCGAGGACGGGUAGGGGGCCUGAGAGGGUGACCCCCCACACGGGUACUGAGACACGGACCCG